Molecule: ribosomal RNA, 253 nt
Filed under: uncultured bacterium
Lineage: Bacteria
Description: partial 16S ribosomal RNA
Rfam family: Bacterial small subunit ribosomal RNA
Source: RNAcentral
UACGGGGGGGGCAAGCGUUGUUCGGAAUUACUGGGCGUAAAGGGCUCGUAGGCGGCCAACUAAGUCAGACGUGAAAUCCCUCAGCUUAACUGGGGAACUGCGUCUGAUACUGGAUGGCUUGGAUUCGGGAGAGGGAUGCGGAAUUCCAGGUGUAGCGGUGAAAUGCGUAGAUAUCAGGAGGAACACCGGUGGCGAAGGCGGGUCUCUGGGCCGAUACUGGCGCUGAGGAGCGAAAGCGUGGGGAGCGAACAGG